Molecule: ribosomal RNA, 538 nt
Filed under: uncultured bacterium
Lineage: Bacteria
Description: bacterial SSU rRNA
Rfam family: Bacterial small subunit ribosomal RNA
Source: RNAcentral
AAUAGAUACCCGGGUAGUCCACGCCGUAAACGAUGAGUGCUAGGUGUUAGGGGGUUUCCGCCCCUUAGUGCUGCAGCUAACGCAUUAAGCACUCCGCCUGGGGAGUACGGUCGCAAGACUGAAACUCAAAGGAAUUGACAGGGGCCCGCACAAGCGGUGGAGCAUGUGGUUUAAUUCGAAGCAACGCGAAGAACCUUACCAGGUCUUGACAUCCCGCUGACCGCCAUGGAGACAUGGCCUUCCCUUCGGGGACAGCGGUGACAGGUGGUGCAUGGUUGUCGUCAGCUCGUGUCGUGAGAUGUUGGGUUAAGUCCCGCAACGAGCGCAACCCUUGUCCUUAGUUGCCAUCAUUCAGUUGGGCACUCUAAGGAGACUGCCGUACAAAUACGGAGGAAGGUGGGGAUGACGUCAAAUCAUCAUGCCCCUUAUGACCUGGGCUACACACGUGCUACAAUGGGUGGUACAAAGGGCGGCAAACCCGCGAGGGGGAGCGAAUCCCAAAAAGCCACUCUCAGUUCGGAUUGCAGGCUGCAACUCG